RNAcentral lists this ribosomal RNA (465 nucleotides) under Vreelandella stevensii. RNAcentral's name for it is "partial 16S ribosomal RNA". It matches the Rfam family "Bacterial small subunit ribosomal RNA", at positions 338 to 795 of the family's 1533-position model. The record is from RNAcentral. Lineage: Bacteria; Pseudomonadati; Pseudomonadota; Gammaproteobacteria; Oceanospirillales; Halomonadaceae.
CCUACGGGAGGCAGCAGUGGGGAAUAUUGGACAAUGGGCGAAAGCCUGAUCCAGCCAUGCCGCGUGUGUGAAGAAGGCCUUCGGGUUGUAAAGCACUUUCAGUGGGGAAGAAAGCCUUGGGGCUAAUACCCUCGAGGAAGGACAUCACCCACAGAAGAAGCACCGGCUAACUCCGUGCCAGCAGCCGCGGUAAUACGGAGGGUGCGAGCGUUAAUCGGAAUUACUGGGCGUAAAGCGCGCGUAGGCGGUCUGAUAAGCCGGUUGUGAAAGCCCCGGGCUCAACCUGGGAACGGCAUCCGGAACUGUCAGGCUAGAGUGCAGGAGAGGAAGGUAGAAUUCCCGGUGUAGCGGUGAAAUGCGUAGAGAUCGGGAGGAAUACCAGUGGCGAAGGCGGCCUUCUGGACUGACACUGAUGCUGAGGUGCGAAAGCGUGGGUAGCAAACAGGAUUAGAUACCCCUGUAGUC